GAUGAACGCUGGCGGCGUGCCUAAUACAUGCAAGUCGAGCGAACAGACGAGGAGCUUGCUCCUCUGACGUUAGCGGCGGACGGGUGAGUAACACGUGGAUAACCUACCUAUAAGACUGGGAUAACUUCGGGAAACCGGAGCUAAUACCGGAUAAUAUAUUGAACCGCAUGGUUCAAUAGUGAAAGACGGUUUUGCUGUCACUUAUAGAUGGAUCCGCGCCGCAUUAGCUAGUUGGUAAGGUAACGGCUUACCAAGGCAACGAUGCGUAGCCGACCUGAGAGGGUGAUCGGCCACACUGGAACUGAGACUCGGCCCAGACUCCUACGGGAGGCAGCAGUCGGGAAUCUUCCGCAAUGGGCGAAAGCCUGACGGUGCAACGCCGCGUGAGUGAUGAAGGUCUUCGGAUCGUAAAGCUCUGUUAUUAGGGAAGAACAAAUGUGUAAGUAACUAUGCACGUCUUGACGGUACCUAAUCAGAAAGCCACGGCUAACUACGUG
This 497-nucleotide ribosomal RNA is filed under the name uncultured bacterium. RNAcentral describes it as "partial 16S ribosomal RNA". It matches the Rfam family "Bacterial small subunit ribosomal RNA", at positions 28 to 507 of the family's 1533-position model. The record is from RNAcentral.